RNAcentral lists this transfer RNA (73 nucleotides) under Stegodyphus mimosarum. It matches the Rfam family "tRNA". From Rfam's summary of the family: Transfer RNA (tRNA) molecules are approximately 80 nucleotides in length. Their secondary structure includes four short double-helical elements and three loops (D, anti-codon, and T loops). The record is from Rfam by way of RNAcentral. Lineage: Eukaryota; Metazoa; Arthropoda; Arachnida; Araneae; Eresidae.
GCCUUCGUGGAGUAGUGGUCAGCACGCUCAGCGCGUAUUCGAGAGUUUCGGGGUUCAAGUCCCGACGAAGGUA